UUCUCUCUUCACUUUUCUGCUCCUGCCUCUCUUCUUUCAAACCCUAGUGAAACUUCAUCUUCACAGAAAUCUCUCAAUCCUCUCAAUAAUCUUCGAUCAUCGACUUAUCUUCUCAUUUUUCAUUUUUCAUUUUCUUUCUCUCUCUUUUUCUCCUUCCGCCUCUCAUUCUCUUCCCUCUCAGAUUUUAGGGUUUCGUUUGGGUUAAUCAUCUGUUCGAUUGGCUAAAAUUUCUGGUCAUCACCCCGAAAUCAAAACCUUUAUUUUUUAACCCAUACAUCCAAAUCGAAACCCAUACACCAGAAAUGUCGAUCUAUCAUAUAUUUACUUGAAAUAUUUGUAACCCUAGAUCGAUUUUGUUUCUGAGAUUUAAAAUUCUAAUCAUCUGAUGGGUGUUUGUGCAACAGUUUGUUGAUUAUCAUCAUCUAAUAAGUGAUUUGUAACAGUUUGUUGAUUAUCAUCUGCUAUAAACAAUCAACUUCUACUAGUUUGAUUUGAUUUUGUUUGUUUGUUUUUUAUUUUGACUAACCCUGUGAAUAGUGUAGAGUUAGGGGUUUUAUUUGGAGGAGUAUAAAUUUGUAGAAGAAGAAGAGGAUUUGAAGGUUGGGAAAAAAGAAGAGAAGAUGCAUAAUGGUGAUGGUUGGAAGAGUAAAAGAAGAGAAGAUUUGGUCAAGUAUAUGUUGGUAAAAGGGUUUCAGGUGGAAGUGGGACUUCUGGUCCGACUGCUCUAGAGGUGGCUUUAAAGUUUGAGCAUAGAACUAGUAAGGGAUGUAACUAUGGACCUCCGUAUGAGUGGCAGGUCUACAAGAAAACCAUCCAAAAGAAGUGACUUGGCACUUAAUUGUGAAAUUAUAGAAGCUAGAUACAAGUAGAGAAGAGCCAAAGACCAAUUGGAACUCGUUCAAAUUCAGGAUUUUUACUUUUCAUUGUGUAGAGGACGAGAAGACGAAGCCAAUGGCGAAAGAACGGAGUCUUUCUGAGUUCGUAUGAGGAAGUUAUGAGCAAACCAGGAACUCCGAAUGCUAAAAGGACAAAAUGGUCAUUUACAGGAUAAGAACUAUUGGUACCCACAUUGCACGAUAAGGGCUGUCACGAUAGGGGCUGCCGAAAUUCAAAGACUGCUAAAGGCACCUGGAUUAUUACUCGGGGCACUUUGUCUUCCCUAUUUCUAAACAGAACACAGGUUAUGGCAGUCGGAACUUGAUGAUCAUGAUUAUCACGACGGUGAUGGAUUUUGAUCAACAAUUAUAUUCGAUUUUAAAUAUAUCAUUGGGUUGCUGGGGAUGAUAGAAAGCAUGGGUACAAGCGUGAUCUCAAAUCAGAGGGCUCGAAAUUCAGGAUGUGAUGCCGAUGAUCUUGGUAGAGAUGGAGAACUCAACAGUGGCUGCUGAUAUUAUCACCGGUGCUGAGGAGAGAAUGACGAUGGAGAUGAUCGAGAUGAUGGAGUUGGCUGUGUCGAGUGAUGAUGGAGUUAGAAGAUGGUGAUCGACAGGAGAUACAGAGAAGCGGGAAGCUCGAACUGUUGCUGCUGUCGUAAACUUGAGAGAAAACAGGGAAUGGAAGUGGAGUUCCGGAGCUGAUAGAGAGAUGGGCUGCUACCAUGAAUGGCAGUGACGAUGAUGUUCUCGGUGAUGAUGAUGCGAAGAUUAAAUGAAGAAGUAAAGAUGGAGUUUGUGCCGAGGGUGGUGAAGGAGUUGGUCUACUGUGGUUCGAAGAUAGUCUGCUACCAUUCAUUGCACCGGUGAUGACGUGGAAGAACAUGGCAGGGACGAUGUAGAUGGGAAGUCCAAGAGCCGUACAAGUCAGAAGAAAAGAUAUACGCAAGCACGUGGUAGGGUUCUGUUUGCAGCACUUCUGCCCAAGCUUUGACGCGUAGAGAGGAAGGUGAUGGUUGUGUGUACUCCGGAUCAUCGACGUUGGAUGUCCAAACGGUGUAUAAGAUCGAAUGGAUGAGAGGUUGUGCGGUAUUUCCUUGCUGCGCUCAAAUACACCAAACCAGCACUUGGAUAAACUUAACCCAAAAACUAGCUUACAAAACCCAAAAACAAACAAAAAUGAUUAACAAACCCAAAAAAUGUACCCUAAAAAGUGUACCGCAAAAAGUGCGAGAGGGAAGGGAACUUCUACCCUUCCCUAUCUAGAUGCCAAGCACGCUUCCUCUGUGUCCAUUGGAUUAUCCUUCGGUGUGAAUCACGGUUCUUUUUUUGGAUGGGUCUAUUAUUACUCAAAACAAAAAUAAUUUCAUCUUCUUUAAAUAUUCCUUUUAUAGUUAGAGACGGAAAGAAAUAAAGUUUUCCUCCCUGGCUUUUUCUUAUAAGCUUUAUUUUUAGUUUCAAUUUAUUUCUUUUUUUUUU
Papaver somniferum (opium poppy) is the source of this 2351-nucleotide long non-coding RNA. RefSeq lists it as uncharacterized. The transcript is spliced from 3 exons. The record is from RefSeq and is a predicted model, not a curated record. NCBI's taxonomy places the organism in Eukaryota, Viridiplantae, Streptophyta, Magnoliopsida, Ranunculales, Papaveraceae.